Molecule: ribosomal RNA, 429 nt
Filed under: Acidobacteriota bacterium
Lineage: Bacteria; Pseudomonadati; Acidobacteriota
Description: Acidobacteria bacterium partial 16S ribosomal RNA
Rfam family: Bacterial small subunit ribosomal RNA
Source: RNAcentral
UGGGGAAUUUUGGACAAUGGGGGAAACCCUGAUCCAGCCAUCCCGCGUGUGCGAUGAAGGCCUUCGGGUUGUAAAGCACUUUUGGCAGGAAAGAAACGUCAUGGGUUAAUACCCCGUGAAACUGACGGUACCUGCAGAAUAAGCACCGGCUAACUACGUGCCAGCAGCCGCGGUAAUACGUAUGGUGCAAGCGUUAAUCGGAAUUACUGGGCGCAAAGCGUGCGCAGGCGGUUCGGAAAGAAAGAUGUGAAAUCCCAGAGCUCAACUUUGGAACUGCAUUUUUAACUACCGGGCUAGAGUGUGUCAGAGGGAGGUGGAAUUCCGCGUGUAGCAGUGAAAUGCGUAGAUAUGCGGCGGAACACCGAUGGCGAAGGCAGCCUCCUGGGAUAACACUGACGAUCAUGCACGAAAGCGUGGGGAGCAAACAGG